This 739-nucleotide ribosomal RNA is filed under the name uncultured organism. Its description in RNAcentral is "bacterial SSU rRNA". It matches the Rfam family "Bacterial small subunit ribosomal RNA", at positions 737 to 1491 of the family's 1533-position model. The record is from RNAcentral.
GUUCUGACGCUCAAGAACGUUAGCGUGGGUAGCGAACGGGAUUAGAUACCCCGGUAGUGCCACGCCCUGAACGAUGAACACUAGGUAGUAGAGGUCUGGACCCGUUCAGUGCCGACGCAAAUGCAAUAAGUGUUCCGCCUGGGUAGUACGAGCGCAAGCUUGGAACUCAAAGGAAUAGACGGGGACCCACACAAUCGGUGGAGCAUCUGGUUUAAUUCGACAAUAAGCGAGGAACCUUACCAAGGCUUGACAUCCCGAGAAGAUCGCCGAAAGGUGAUUGUGCCGUUAGGAACUCGGUGACAGGUGCUGCAUGGUUGUCGUCAGCUCGUGCCUUGAGGUGUUCGGUUAAGUCCGUGAACGAGCGCAACCCUUGUCUCAAGUUGCAUAUUUCUUGAGAGACUGCCGGUUUCAAAUCGGAGGAAGGUAAGGAUGACGUCAAAUCAGCAUGGCCCUUAUGUCUUGGGCGACACAGGUGCUACAAUGGCCGGUACAAUGGGCAGCGAAGGAGCAAUCUGGAGCAAAUCCUCAAAACCGGUCCAAGUUCGAAUUGAAGGCUGCAACUCGCCUUCAUGAAGUUGGAAUCGCUAGUAACCGCAUAUCAGCCAUGGUGCGGUGAAUCCGUUCCUGGGUCUUGUACUCACCGCCCGUCAAGUCUUGAAAGAUGGGGGUGCCCGAAGUACCCUUAGCUAAUUUAGCGGGGUUCCUAAGGGCAAAACCAUUGAUUGGGACUAAGUCGUAA